Molecule: long non-coding RNA, 576 nt
Organism: Cicer arietinum (chickpea)
Lineage: Eukaryota; Viridiplantae; Streptophyta; Magnoliopsida; Fabales; Fabaceae
Source: RefSeq, a predicted model, not a curated record
UAAUAAUCGAGGAAUCAAAAUAUUCAAUUUUAAAAUGCAAGAUUAUUUUCACGAGCAUGAUCAAAUACGAGAGAAAAUCUACAAUUAUAUUAGAUUUGUAGAUUGGAUGCUCAACUUUUAGGUGGAAAGGAGAGAGAAGAAAAUGUGAAAACGACGGAGAAACGAUAGAAUUAGCAUUUGUUCUUCAUCAUGUGAAGCAUCAAACGCAUGAUGAACUACAAGUAAUUCGUUUCAUAACGGAAUGUAUUUAGCUAUGUUACAUUUCAUUUUUUUUCCUCCUGCUAGGGAUUAGCGUCCCUCUUGCUGUAAUUGCAAUUUACAAUUGUAACAGCUUUCCGUUUUUUUUUUUUUGCUAUGUCUAUCUGGUGCAUAAACUACAGAGUCCAAGUUGCAGCAACGCUGACCAACCGUGAAAAAGGAGCUGAUUCAUUACCAGGAGAAUCAAUUUAGGGUGGACAAAAUCCAGGAGAAGCAUUUGAAAUUUCCCUCGUAUGGAGAGUAAGCUGAUAAAAGCAUGAGAACAUUCAAUGUUAUAACUUAAACCAUAAUCAUAUUGACAAUUUUCAUGUUAAAAAA